RNAcentral lists this long non-coding RNA (2940 nucleotides) under Homo sapiens (human). Its description in RNAcentral is "HSALNT0010851". The record is from RNAcentral. Lineage: Eukaryota; Metazoa; Chordata; Mammalia; Primates; Hominidae.
AUGAACCACUAUGCCCGGCCUGAUUUUUAAAUUUCAGUGCUGUAUUCACUUAUCAAUGAGCAAUGCCUCAUUGGUAACGGUCACUAUUCAUCUCAUUUCCAGUACUGUCAACACUAUAAAAGGAAGACUUACAAUAUCCUGUAACGAAUGGGCAUGACUGCAUCCAGAAAUCUGAGACAGGUUUUCAUGUCAUGUACAGCUUUUUGUUAAUUGUUUAAAGCUGAAGAUGAACUCAAAUAAAACUUGUAACUCAGAAGCAUAGCCAAUUAGUCGUUUAAUCUAUUUUCUGAACUGCAUGCUUAUUUUAUGGAUGCAGAGUAGAUUGGUUGAGUGUGAGGACACUUAAAAAUAGCAUGAUACAGUUAUUGUAGGAAGUAUUAAUAUUUAAAAAUUGUUACAGCCAAGACCAAAAAGUGAGAACCACAAUUCAAUAUUUUCUAUAAAUUUCAUAAAUGUCUAUGUUUAAACAUUCCUGGUAAAUAUGUAUAAUCGUACACUUUUAAACUUUCUCUGAUAAAUUCAGUGAGUAUUCAAUAAUUGCUCAUUAUCAAAAGGUUGUGAAUUUGUCUCUCUUCCAGCCAGAUGACAGGAGCCUAGGAUUCCAAUGGUGUGCUCAGGACUGACAUCACUGGGGUCAAAGAUUCAGCUGCCAUGGUCCAGGCUCCAGGCUGGGGAGGAUGUUAGGGAUUGGUGUGGUCAGGACCAGCGCUGCUAUGACUGCGGAUUUAUUUGGCAUAUUUGGGACUGGGUGUGAUGAGACAGCAGCUGGCAUGUCAAGAGGUUGAGGGAGGGAGGAAGAAUGAACAAAUUAUUUAGGAUUAUGGGAGUCAGGUUUCUAUGAGAGAAGGAAGUUACAAAGAUGGAAAGGGAGACUAGAUUAACCUCAAAGGAUUGAAUUGAAGGUGUCAAUGUGAACUCAAAGUUUUCAAUACGUAUGUAUAUAAAUAGAUAUAGAAGUAGGUGACUAUUCUUGAAUGUGUGUAGACACACGUUUUCCUUUGAGCUGUUCACCAAUAAGACAGUGAGCCUUUCUCAGGUCUUCAUUUCCAUAUACCAUUUCCCAUUUAAAGAAACCAGGGCUCCUUGGAAAAAAGGGCUAAUUCUAGACUUGGGGUAGGGAGUAGGAAAAAGUGUAAGAUGAGCUCGUAAAAAAAAUAAGAGGGGAAAAAGCAAUGAGGCAUCUCUAAGGAACACAGAAGCCAGCUUGAAGAGACUCCCAAAAACCAAAUCGGGGAAAAUUUCAGCAUGAAAAUAAGUGACAAUAAUACACUGUCACUGAAUAAAGCAGGCAUUCAUGAAUCUAUACUGAUUUAAGUGAAUGAAGGAAUAGAGAAGGAAGAGCUCUUCCUUACAGUAGUAGGAUGCCAACCAAGGCAGAAGCCACGGACUCACCAUUUGACAACCAAAAUAGUAAUUGGUUCAGUCAAGAAUUGUCAAUAGACUAGCCCGUGACAAUUCGAUGAGAAACAAUACAUUUACAAUCUUUAAGAAUCUCCUCACAAAUUACUUCCUAAUUCUAAUUUUACAAUGGAGAAACCUGGUAUAUACUAUCUGAACCAAGUGACCAAAAUUAAUACUAUCAGGUAUAAGACAAAUUGACAUUGUGUGCAUCCUGGCAUGACACAUUUGAGUAUAGAGCAUCAUUUCUGUAGUAUUGGACAAAAAUGUCUAUCCUAAACCUUAUGGGUCUUAUCUAAUGAUAAACCAAAACUGAGGAACUUUCUACAAACUGGCCAAUCCUCCUCAAGUGUCAAGGUCAAAGACAAGUCUGAAAAGAUGUUCUGGACUGAAUGAAACAAGAGAUAGGGCAACUAAAUGCACUAUGUGGUCCUGGAUUGGGAUGCUGAAACACAGGAACAUUACUGAGGCAAUCAAAAUCAGCAGAUUGAAUGUGGUCUAUGGAUUAGAUAUCAUGAUGUCAAUGUCAAUCUCCUAAGUUUGAUGGUUGUACUAUGGUUACGUAGGAAUGCCCUUGUCUUAAGGAAACACACAGUAGAUAGAGGUAAUAAUGCAAAAAAUAUUUUGGUUGGGAUUACAUUGAAUCUACAAAUGUAAAUGAACAUCUUUACACGACUGAGUCUUCUAAUUCGUGUACAUUAUGGAGUACUACAUUUAUUUAAGAUCUCCUUAAAUGCUUCCUGACAUGGUCUAACAUUUUCUCCAUCAAGAUCUUGUACAUCUUUUGUUAGACUUAUUCUUAGGUAGAGUAUUUUGUAUUUUUUAAUGAUAUUGAAGAGAUCUUUCUAAAAACUUCCAUUUCUGUUAGUUGCUGAUAUCUAGGAAUACAACUGACUUACAUACUGAUUGUGAAUGUAGCAAAUUUGCUAACUCCUAGAUGUUAACUGAAUAGUCUACAUAUAUAAUCAUAUCAACACAUCACCAUAAUUUCCUGCCUGUAGGAAAGAAAAACCCACAGAAUUCCACUGACUAUAAGUUAUUUAACAAUAUACAAUGGUUGUCAUUUAGAGAGAUGUUUCCAGUUGUAUAAAUACUGUAACACAACGAUAGCUGGGAAUAGUGUAGCCAUAGUACCAUCUUUAAAUCACCCAAAUAACUGAGGUACAAUUCUAUCUGCUUGUGAGUUCACUAGGCAACAAGUCUCAGGGAUCAUAUAGUCUUUGUCUCUGUAUCAAAACAAAUACACUGCCUAAGGUACACUAAAAGUAAUUUAACAUACUGUACUCAUAAAUUCUAACUAAGUUCUCUGUAGGUAAAACAUGGCUAGGGAAGUUAUGAUCAACCCUUCAGAAAUGACUUCUUCUGAGUCGUUUGGACAAUACGCAUCAUCUUGGACAAUACGCCUCCCACAAGGCUUAAGGCUCUACGCUGGACAAAGUGCCAGGGAGCCCUAAAGGCAGAAAGGACCCAAAAGUGAAAUUCUCAUUUUUAAGCUGUGAGGGAAAACAGAGAAAUGAGUUUAUUACAUGAUAUAACCUUUGG